Molecule: long non-coding RNA, 351 nt
Filed under: Brassica napus (rape)
Lineage: Eukaryota; Viridiplantae; Streptophyta; Magnoliopsida; Brassicales; Brassicaceae
Description: long non-coding RNA (BNAP_LNC023033)
Source: RNAcentral
AGCCUCAUUUCACGACUAAGGCAAACUUCGUUGAAAAAUUUCUAAGUCCAAAAAUAGUCAUAAGGCUUACUGAAGGUUCAAAACAAAAAAAAACAAAGCCCCAAAACAAAGAGGUUCGGAGUUACAACAACAAAAGACCUCGAAGGGACAAAAGACAAAACAACUAAGAAAGAUUACAACAAACAUAAAGAGUCAGCCCUCGACACGGCCAGGGUCGUCCACUGAAUGUCGAGGAACCGGAUCAAGAGCAUUCUCGACAACUCCCGCGUCGGAAAUGGGUGGGUCAGCCUCCAGUGACCUGCUUUCAGGUUCCUCGGGGACUUCGGCAAUCGCGUCCUCGCUCCCUCGCUC